UCCAGACUCCUACGGGAGGCAGCAGUGAGGAAUAUUGGUCAAUGGGCGAGAGCCUGAACCAGCCAAGUCGCGUGAGGGAGUACUGCCCUAUGGGUUGUAAACCUCUUUUGUCGGGGAGCAAAAGCCGGACGUGUCCGGCUGUGAGAGUACCCGAAGAAAAAGCAUCGGCUAACUCCGUGCCAGCAGCCGCGGUAAUACGGAGGAUGCGAGCGUUAUCCGGAUUUAUUGGGUUUAAAGGGUGCGUAGGCGGAACAUUAAGUCAGCGGUAAAAUCGAGGGGCUCAACCCCUUUAAGCCGUUGAAACUGGUGAUCUUGAGUGGGCGAGAAGUAUGCGGAAUGCGUGGUGUAGCGGUGAAAUGCAUAGAUAUCACGCAGAACUCCGAUUGCGAAGGCAGCAUACCGGCGCCCGACUGACGCUGAGGCACGAAAGCGUGGGGAUCGAACAGGAUUAGAUACCCCUGUAU
Molecule: ribosomal RNA, 464 nt
Filed under: uncultured bacterium
Lineage: Bacteria
Description: bacterial SSU rRNA
Rfam family: Bacterial small subunit ribosomal RNA
Source: RNAcentral